Coffea arabica (coffee) is the source of this 2842-nucleotide non-coding RNA. NCBI's taxonomy places the organism in Eukaryota, Viridiplantae, Streptophyta, Magnoliopsida, Gentianales, Rubiaceae. The record is from RefSeq and is a predicted model, not a curated record.
UUAUUUCUCCUUUUUUUUCUUGCUGGUUCAACGAAGAAAAGUACAACUUCAAUUCUUCCAUCAGUAGCCAAUUGUUUAGAAGUGUUUUUGACUUUUUCCCUAGCAUUCUUGCCCUCUCUUUCCCGUUCUUUCCGUUUCGUUUUCUUUUUGCUUCAGAAGAAGCAUAUUUGCAGAUUUCAUUUUCUUUUCAUGUUAAGCUCUACAUUUUCUCCUUCGUCCCUCCCUCUCUGUUUCCAUUCCUUUGUUUCUCUUUUGUUUUCUUCCUGGAUCGGACAAACAAAAGUACCAACUUAUCUGCUCCAACACCUGGUCAAUAAUUUGACCAUCUUUUCCCCCAAAAUAUGGCCGCUCAUCCAUAUCCCAAUCGUGCUAUUGUUCCAGAAAGAGUCAAUUGUGGCUGCUCAUCCAUAUCCCAACUAUGCGAUUAUUCCACAAAGAGUCAGGAACACAAACACUGCUCACAAAAAAAAUCAACGCUUCUUCCUCAUUUUGCUCUGUAACAUCUCCGAGUAAAGGGGUUUAAUUGCACUUUGAAAGAAUUGGUGCAGAAGAGCCUCUGAUUUAGCGUUCACAGAUUUCAGUUGGGUUUAGUUACGAUUUAAAAGAGUCGGUGCUAAAGAAGCUUUGGUUUGGGGUUGGCAGAUUCAUAUUAAGGAAUUGCUUCAAUUCAAGGAUGGCACCAAGGCAUUCCGAAAAAGGGAAUAAAGGCACAAACUAAGAGAUUGAGAAAAAAAAAACUUACAACCGAAUCUAUUUGCCCCAUCAAUGUCUCUAAUGUAGAUGAAUUACUUGAGAAUGAAGAGGCUGUAAUGAGUAGCUUUCAAGAAGAUCCAGAUUUCGUUUCCGUGCGAGAGUAUUAUGCUUAUAAGCUCCAGAAGCAGAUACAGAUUGGAUCAUAAAAUGUUCAUCAUGCAGACAAGAAGCCAAAGUGGAACUAAGGUGUCGCAUUGGAAUAACAGUGACCGAUCCAACUGCAAGCAUUCAAUGCUUAAUAUCUGGAAAAGAAGCUGAAAGACUGAUACAAUUGACUGCUGCGCAGCUUAAGGAUGCAGAGGCACAUGGAAUAACAAUGAACCAAGAACUCUCUGCCAUCAUGAAAAAGUACAGGUUGAUCUGUUUUAUCAAAACAUAUGAGACAACUUUUCAAGGACAACUUCAAAGAAGAAAUGCAAUCAUCAAAGCCUACCCAACAGCUGAAGUCCCCAACAUAUCAUUGGCUCUAUUAGAUUCACCACCAACUCUCCAAGCUUCAGAAACUGGAACAACAUCAAACACCAAGCAAAAACAAGUCAUAGAACAACAAACGUUCACACCAACAGCCAAGUUGCUCCUUCAAGAAAUAGCCGAAUCCACUGCUACUAAAAAAAGCUUCAUCACUAAAUCAACAACUGCUGCAACAACCAGCCACAAACUGCUUGAAGACACUGCUACCUCAGCUUCACCAAAUACCACCCCAAUCGACGAAACUGCUGCCAGCCCAACAAAGAAACCAAAACAGGAAGGAAAAGGGAAUUGAACACUCCCCAACCCUUACUAAAACCUUUUGAUAUUGCUAGAGAAGAACUUAGCAGGUCUAUCAUGCCUAAAUUGUAGUUUUAGAAUCCAUUGCUCCAAUAUUUUUUGAUAGAGCAAUGCAUUCUAAUACUUAGAAUUAGUACCUCCUCCCUCACCUGCUAACAACUCCUAUUACCAGAACCAUAAACCUGUAAAGCCUAGGUUCAUGACUUUGUCAAGCUGAAAAUGCAGUAUUAGAAUCCAUUGCUCCAAUAUCUUUUGAUAGAGUAGUGCAUUCUAAUACUCAUAUGUCAUAUAAGCUUCUCUAGCAAUCAAUAAUAUGUGCAGUACUUCUAUACGUUCCAAAUGAGCGGUUUACUUUUCAUAUAAGUUAAAAAUUUACAUAUGUUUCUCCAUAUAUCUACUUUAUUGCACUCAUUUAAUUACAAGUUGAAAGUGUUGGUGCAGAAAAGCCUUUUAUUUGGGGUUCACAGAUUUGCACUAAGGAAUUGCUUCAAUUUCAGGUCACUUUCUCCUCUUCCUUGACUACACGCUAUAAUGUUUGUGCUUAAGUUUUGUUAUAUUUCAUCUAUUAUUCAUAAUUUUUUCAGUUGUAGGUUCGUUUGAUCUCACUUAUUAAUUGAACGUAUGCUUUAUACGAUUAUGGUGAGGUUGGCUAAUCAAUAGAUUUAUAUGUACUGGAAGCAAACGAGUAUGAUCAAGGAAGAUCACCUACUUGCUGCAAUCAAAGUUGCUGCUUCUAUCAGGGGACACAACCUAUCACUGCAUGGUUUUGUAAAGAAAGGGAAAUUGCAGGAUGCCCUCACUAGCAUCGACCUUCUAAUCAUUCCUGUUCGAGUUCAUAGGAAACUAGCAAUGACUAAAGAUGACCUUUUUAAUAUCAAUCCUCACAUUGUUAGGACUCUAUGAACGAAUUUCAAAGUGGUGUGCGAAAGCUAUUAUUCGCAUGGUGCCAUUUGGGGCUGCAAUGAACGUCACAUCUUGCCAUCAAACAUUUGGGCUGCAAGGAAUUUCAAAGUGUUUGUAAAGUUACGCACCAUUGUUCUACGAUUCAGUUAAUUUUGUUUUGGUGUUGUCUAGAUAUCUUUAUUAUCAAUAUUUGGUAAUUCAAAGUCCAACAUGCUUGAAUUAGCCAAAGAUUUGAAUUUUUUUUGGUCAUAAUUCUUCUGCAAGCUGUACAAAUUAUUGUAAAACUGUGGAAUUGUAUGUGAUCGAGCUGUACAAAUUAUUGUAAAAAUCUGGAAUCAUACGUGAGUGUGUAUCUUUCUGCAUGAAAGAAACAUUGUGUGCUGUGAGUUAAUUAACUUGAGUUUAUUGUCUUCUUCAU